GCGUGAGCUACGCAGAAGACGGGUGAUUUCUGCAUUUCCAUCUGAGAGGACAGGUGACCGCAAAGCAGAAGUGAUGAAGAGCCAGUCACCAUGGCCACAUCUUGAGGUCACACAGUCAGCAGUUCGCUUUGCUCACUCAGUCCUAUAAAAACAGCAAGGUGGCCAGUGGGCUAGUGUGAAAUAAUUAAGAGGACAAUUCAUAGAAAAUGGAAAUGGAAAGACAGCAGGAGGGCAGACCAAACAGUAUCUCCUGGACCCGUUAAAGGCUUUGGAUUUUACACUGGAGAAAUGGAAAGCCUGCGACUAACUGAAAAAGUUACACAGCUGACACUGCUGCUUAAAGAAACCAGAUGGCGCCAGAGCUUCUUGACCCCUGACCAGAUGCCAGAGGAAGAUAAGACACCAUAAAACCAGCGCAAAUGGGAACUGGCAAACCCUGGGUGCCUUUAGAUCAUGAACAUAUCAUUAUAAUGCUAAUUUCCCUUCCCUAAAAGAAAAUCUCUGCCAUUUUGUGUACAUAUGAUAUAUGAAGAUGCAUGUUUAUGAAUUGGGCCUGCGUGUCUGGAGUCCCACCCUGCACAUACUAACAUUCCUUUCCUGCCCCAUAGGAAUAAAGGCAAUAAACCCCUUGCCUUUUAUUCUUCAAGAAAAGAUGCUUUCAGAGGAAGAGCUCACCUUCUCCAUUCCCUGGCAAAUGAAUAAAACCUGA
This 709-nucleotide long non-coding RNA is filed under the name Homo sapiens (human). RNAcentral describes it as "HSALNT0311866". The record is from RNAcentral. Lineage: Eukaryota; Metazoa; Chordata; Mammalia; Primates; Hominidae.